AGUAAAAUAAGGUUAGAUUAUGAUCAGUAGAAGCGUUAAAGUCUUUUUGGGUAUAGUUUAUUUUCUAUGGAACUAAAAAUCCUUUGCAACAGAUUUGUUUCUAUUCGCAAAAUUCCAAUAUGGGCAGGAAUUAUUUACGGAUUAGUGGAAUUGGUUAGCAAAAUAAUGGUCGAGUGUGUCACUUAAUAUAUAGUUAUGAAUAUCCAAACAUUGAUUUGGGCAUAAUGUGAUUGUUCUUCCUUUCCUGGAACUACGUUUGAAGAUCAAAACAUUGUAAUGUGGUUGUUUUAUGUCUUGUUUUCUGCUCCAUAGCUGAAGGAAAAAAUUUUUUAGAAGGGUGUUGUAGCAACUCAAUAGAGAUAGGAAAGCACAUAUUUUUAAUGUGCUUAUGACAGCUGCUUUGCACCUUCAGUCAUUGGAGUGGCAUUGCUAAACACGCUGUAAAAACUUUCCUUCUGUUUGCAAGAUUUUAUGCUUGCAUGGGGCUAGUGAUGCAAGUGAUGGGAAUGGAAAUAGAAAUGAGGUUUAUGUUUUUAUGACUGAUGUCUAUGGAACUAAAGAUAGUCACAAGGUUGGUGACAUUUGAUGAAGAUGAUAAGGGCAAUUAUAUGAAAAGAUAAAAAUUUGGUUGCUCAUUGUUUCAGUAGAAUUCUUUUCCUUUAUAUGGCCUUUUGAAGUACUUUCAAUCAUGAACAACUAGUGUGAUUCUAUUUGAUGAUGUUUUCUUUCAAUGUUCUAAUGGUUUCUAUGUCCUAAUUGCAAUGUUGACCAUGCUUUUUAUCAUACAGGUUUAGGAG
This 797-nucleotide unclassified non-coding RNA is filed under the name Hevea brasiliensis (rubber tree). The record is from RNAcentral. Lineage: Eukaryota; Viridiplantae; Streptophyta; Magnoliopsida; Malpighiales; Euphorbiaceae.